RNAcentral lists this ribosomal RNA (410 nucleotides) under uncultured microorganism. RNAcentral describes it as "bacterial SSU rRNA". It matches the Rfam family "Bacterial small subunit ribosomal RNA", at positions 509 to 917 of the family's 1533-position model. The record is from RNAcentral.
CAGCCGCCGCGGUAAUACGUAGGUGGCAAGCGUUGUCCGGAAUUAUUGGGCGUAAAGCGCGCGCAGGCGGUUCCUUAAGUCUGAUGUGAAAUCUCGCGGCUCAACCGCGAGCGGCCAUUGGAAACUGGGGAACUUGAGUGCAGGAGAGGGGAGCGGAAUUCCACGUGUAGCGGUGAAAUGCGUAGGGAUGUGGAGGAACACCAGUGGCGACGGCGGCUCUCUGGCCUGUAACUGACGCUGAGGCGCGAAAGCGUGGGGAGCGAACAGGAUUAGAUACCCUGGUAGUCCACGCCGUAAACGAUGAGUGCUAAGUGUUAGAGGGUAUCCACCCUUUAGUGCUGCAGCAAACGCAUUAAGCACUCCGCCUGGGGAGUACGGCCGCAAGGCUGAAACUUAAAGGAAUUGGCGGG